UUGAUGACACCAGUGAGAAAAGUUGUGCCAAGUUAUUUCUUUGUUUAGUCUAUGCAGCUCUUGGGAUACCAGCUUUAGUUAUCUAAUGUUAGGUCGAGAGUAAAUAAAUGAAGCAAACCAAUUUAAGAGGAAACAGAGUAAUUAAAAUGUAGGGCGUAUGGAUUGGAUACAUGCCCAAUUUGGGCCCCCGUAUUUGAAAAAAGGCGCUUUGUAACCUUUAUUGACUUCUGGCUCUGCAUUAACGUCGCAGAAAUUAUCAUGGCUCACCUGUCGGUCGUCUGAAGUUGCUGCUGGACAUGAACAAGGAUGAAAUAACCACGUGCUGCAGUGGCGUCUCUCUUCGGCGUGCAGUUCUUCACUCAGAUGUGAUGUGAGCAGCUGUCUUCAUACUGGACUACAAGGUGCAGCACCUCCACCAGAAGGCCCUCAUAUCCUGCCACAAGGACACCGUUUGUCUGCCCCUCAUGAAAUGUCCUGGAGUAUCACAGCCUCACCUGUCACCGAUCAGUUUGUCAAAGAGGUUUUUUCCUCAUGAGUCCUGCCAAAGAUGCCACACGCCCAGUUUCCUGUUCGUCCAGCAGUCUUUACCGAGAAAACCCACACGGCCACAGGGCGUCUCCAUGAAUCAACAACCGUACCGUCAAAGCUUCCAUCACACUGGCUCAGGUUGAAUCAUCUCGGGUUAUAAAAGCAGAGAAGUGGACAAGUGUUGCAGAUUAGUACUGAGAAACUGUAUUCAAAAAUAAACUUUGAAAAACACCUCAGUGACAUUUUCCACACCCCAGGAAACGUCCUCCUGCUGCGAUGAAGCCUUUUUUCUUUGUUUUUUAUCUUUCAGCUUCUGUGUUGGAGCUCGCCAUAUUUUGCUUGUAAAUAUAAAAUUGCUGUAAUUUAUUUUUCAUUUAAUAAAAAGCCCGAAGAGUGCCUUCAAAAACA
This is a long non-coding RNA of Notolabrus celidotus (New Zealand spotty), 936 nucleotides long. RefSeq lists it as uncharacterized. The record is from RefSeq and is a predicted model, not a curated record. Lineage: Eukaryota; Metazoa; Chordata; Actinopteri; Labriformes; Labridae. The transcript has 2 exons.